UACGUAGGGGGCAAGCGUUGUCCGGAAUUAUUGGGCGUAAAGAGCUUGUAGGCGGUUUGUCGCGUCUGCUGUGAAAAUCCGGGGCUCAACCCCGGACUUGCAGUGGGUACGGGCAGACUAGAGUGUGGUAGGGGAGACUGGAAUUCCUGGUGUAGCGGUGAAAUGCGCAGAUAUCAGGAGGAACACCGAUGGCGAAGGCAGGUCUCUGGGCCACUACUGACGCUGAGACGCGAAAGCGUGGGGAGCGAACAGG
This 253-nucleotide ribosomal RNA is filed under the name uncultured bacterium. Its description in RNAcentral is "partial 16S ribosomal RNA". It matches the Rfam family "Bacterial small subunit ribosomal RNA", at positions 524 to 776 of the family's 1533-position model. The record is from RNAcentral.